CGAGUCGCGAUGGGGUAUAAUAGUAACUGCAGUUGUUUAGUCCGGCCAGAUCGUCGUCGUCUUCGAUUUCAACCUCGCCGGGAAAUUUCAAAACGUCAUUCAACAGUCAAAUCAAUCACCAUUCUCCGACGUAUUUUCACUCUAAUGUGAGAACCUCUUUCAUUGGGAGAUGGUCCAAAGUAUAAAAUAUAGUCCCCUUCACCUUCACCAUGUCCCUAAUGGUAUUAUAUGUGGAAGGAGCUCCAAGCAUGAAAUUGGAAAACGAGAAUACUUAAGUGAAUGCAAGAUCAGUCCAGUGGUGGAACCGCCACAGUAGCUACAGCGUCACCUCUCACCUUCAAAGGCAGCAACCUUCAGGAUUCUCAUUCUCAGAAGCUACACACUUGCUUUCAUUCACAGCUACUUGUCAUCGUUCUCAGCGCUUCUUCAGUUUGAAUCUGCCAAGUAUUUAUGUCAUCCACCCAUUUGAUUACACAUUUUAGCAACAUCACCACCAUUUCAUGAACCACCAACGAGCUCCACCAUAGCUUCCUUUGCCAAAAUUCAAGGUUCCUAAACAACCCUGAAGUUGGACAUAACUUGGACCCUUAUUGUGGAAGGCCAAUAUGAUGAUUUUUUUGCAACAUCUUGCUUCUCUUUUCUUAUUUUGAUUUGUAAGUUUGUAACCAGAAGUGGUGCCAACAACAAAAUACAAAUCCAAACCCAUUUGUCACUUCACUGUAAUGUCACUUUAUUUACUCGAACCCAAAGGACGACCUUUGUUCGAACAAUGUAGGUACCAUUUGUA
Long non-coding RNA from Camelina sativa (false flax), 787 nucleotides. RefSeq lists it as uncharacterized. The record is from RefSeq and is a predicted model, not a curated record. NCBI's taxonomy places the organism in Eukaryota, Viridiplantae, Streptophyta, Magnoliopsida, Brassicales, Brassicaceae.